This 2072-nucleotide unclassified non-coding RNA is filed under the name uncultured fungus. Its description in RNAcentral is "sequence contains 18S rRNA gene, ITS1, 5.8S rRNA gene, ITS2, 28S rRNA gene". The stretch from base 903 to 2072 matches the Rfam family "Eukaryotic large subunit ribosomal RNA", at positions 1 to 961 of the family's 3401-position model. The record is from RNAcentral. Lineage: Eukaryota; Fungi.
GGAUGGAUCAUUAACACAAUAAUAAUCCAAAGGACGGGAGAGGAAAGCGAAAGCUGACCAAUUCCGUCCGAACAACUUGAAAACGUGAACAUACGAGAAAGUCUUCAUUUUUGAUCUUGCAUCAGAGAUGAACCCUUUAACAACUGUAAACACCAAAACCAAAACAAACAACAAAAUCAAGUCGUAAACAAAAAUGUUUUUUGUGAUGGGUUAUUCUAGUGUGAUGGAGAUUUAUUCUCUGUUUGCACUGUUGAAUUAACUUUCAACAUCAAUUGAACCAAAACAAACAACUGUAUUCAGUGGAUGUCUUGGCUCCCAGAACGAUGAAGAACGCAGCGAAAUGCGAUACGUAAUGUGAAUUGCAGAAUACUGGAAUCAUCAAAUCUUUGAACGCAAGUGGCACUUCGUGGACUUGUCCCGGAGUAUACCUGUCUGAGUGUCGUUUCCAUAACAAUCAUAAAGAGCACUGUUCGAAAGAAUGAGCUCCAUUAUGGAAGAUGAGAUUUGGAAGUGCAGCCUUAAACAGCAGUGCUUCCAUUUCUUCAAAUGGAUUGAACUGAGAAACAAUUCAAUACUACACACAACAACUCUGUGUUGUUGUGUUCUCUCGACCUUGUAAAUCCGCUCAUCACCGACAGAGCAUCUCCGACAAUGGCAACGUUGUUGUUGGGCUGUUCUGCGAGCAGCAGUUAGUUUCGGCUCGACUGCUGUCUUGCGGGAUUUCCAUUCUUUGAAACUUGAUUCAAUUCGAGUUACACAAACAUUAAUGGAUUAAAUCUGACGUCAACGAUGAGAUCAAAUGGAAUAACUCAAAUGAGAGUGAUGGUUGUUGAUUGUACUAAUUCUUGGUCUAAACCGCAAGAGCGUAAAGAGAUUCUCUUUUGCUCUUCAUCUACAAACUCCGACCUCAGAUCAAGUAAGGCUACCCCGUGAAUUUAAGCAUAUCAUUAGCGGGAGGAAAAGAAACUAACUAGGAUGCCUUCAGUAACGGCGAGUGAAGCAGGCAGAGCUCAAAUUUGUAAUCUGGGUGUCCAUUGGGCGCCUCGAAUUGUAGUUUGCGACGGUGCAUGGCAGUGUCAGCCGGCGGUCUAAGUCUUUUGGAACAAGGCUCCACAGAGGGUGAUAGACCCGUAUGGGACCGCUGCUCGCUGGUGCUGCAUAUCUUGUGCUGUUGACGAGUCAUGUUCGUUGGGAUUCGAGCAUAAAACGGGUGGUAAAUUUCAUCUAAAGCUAAAUACUACUGGGAGACCGAUAGCGAACAAGUACCGUGAGGGAAAGAUGCAAAGAACUUUGAGAUGAGAGUGAAAAGUGCCUGAAACUGAAUACAGGGAACCGAAGGGACCAAGUGAACAGCUGGCAGUCAAAUCAGCCAGUCGGGCCGGAGCUGAGCGGCGGCGGGCGAGUCUGUAAAAGGACCGCACUGUCUGUCGGCAGUCAUUCGGCUUGGCUGGUGCACUUUGAUUGUCAGCGAGUCAACAUCAGUUGCGUUUGCGGGACGAGAAGGCUGGGCGCAAGGUAGGUGUCGCUUCGGUGGCACUGUUUAUAAGCGUUCAGAGAUGGUUCCGCCGCGACUGAGGAGUACACAGUGAGCCGUCGGACUCGCAAGGUCUGGCGAGGCGCUCGGUGCGUCUGCGGGCGUCGGCUUGGGGCUUCCAUCAAGACUAGUGCUUGAGUGGCUCUGCCGGCGUUUGCACCUGCGUGUCGAGCGUCUUCUGCAUCUCACUCAGGAUGUUGACGAAAUUGGUUCCUCCGACCCGUCUUGAAACACGGACCAAGGAGUCUAGCAUAUGUGCGAGUGUUAGGGUGUGUAAAACCCGCGACGCGCAAUGAAAGUAAAAGGGUGGGAUCGCCUUAAACAAGCGUGCACCAUCGACCGAUCUGGAUUUUUCUAAUGAUAGAUUUGAGUGAGAGCAGACAUGCUGGGACCCGAAAGACAGUGAACUAUAGCUGAGUAGGGUGAAGCCAGAGGAAACUCUGGUGGAGGCUCGUAGUGUAUCUGACGUGCAAAUCGAUCAUCAAACUUGGCCAUAGCGGCGAAAGACUAAUCGAACUAUCUAGUAGCUGGUUUCCUC